RNAcentral lists this unclassified non-coding RNA (1154 nucleotides) under Leishmania donovani. RNAcentral's name for it is "gene:LdHU3.33.0810(CDS-product:hypothetical_prote in_conserved)". The record is from RNAcentral. Lineage: Eukaryota; Euglenozoa; Kinetoplastea; Trypanosomatida; Trypanosomatidae.
GGUGCCCUUCUUUCUCCCCGUUCUCCAGCUUCGCUUUCAAAGGCGUCAGGCAGUGCUCGACACAGCGCCUUGGAUCCGCUGAAGCGUCGCGCACUCUGAGGCACAGGUGAAACCGAAGCACGUUGAACAGCGCGUUUCUUCGCGUCUCUUUUCUUUUUUCCCUUCGCGUGGGAGCGCGCCCAAUAGCUGUGCACAAAUCCGCUCAGGUGAGUCCGUCUUCAUAUACGUUCUUCGUCGGCUCGAUGAGAGAGGUAUUGGCGGCGGAGCGCGAGACGUUCUUCCAGGCUUCCGUCCAGGACGGCGAGCCGUACCGGUGGACCGCAUUGGACACCUCCCUGGACGUCAGCGGCUCUCUUCGGUUGUCGCACCUGGUGUAUCUCCCUCCGCCAUCGUUGGAGGUACUGAGAGCGUAUGAGGCGUCUCGGGGCAUCUCGCGUGCUGCGACUGUGCGUUCCGUUCGCGCCAUCGUGCGCACGUUGACCUCCAACAACAAGGUGGAGGAGUACGUGGUGGCAUGCUUCCCGCUCGAUGCGCAGCGACUGGUCAACGCACAAACCUUCACAGUUCCGUCAACGGAGGCCGACCAAAGCGGGGCCGCGGCGGCGGCUGCCGCACCGUUGCCAAAGUACACCGUAGCCUCCCUCCUGCCUCGCCGGCACGACGCGUCAGCAGGCCUUUCAAGCACAUUUCUGUUGCCAUGUCCCACAGACAUUGUCACGCAGCUGAACAUUCGGCUGGGACUGGAUGGAUUUACAGAGCUGCGGGUGGAUGGUCCAGGGACAGUGGUAUUCACGGGAGAGCAGCGACUGACGAUGGUGAGCCACUGGAGACACGAAUGCGAUGCUCACUAAGAGCAGCACCUCCGUUUCGCUGAUGUGGGCUGUGUGGGCAACGUGACGGCAGUGCCCAUCCCCUUUUCCGUGGUCUAGUUUGCCCAGAGGAUUGAGGGUCAGGGGCCCACAGGUGUGGUGGUGCGCUCUCCCACCGCGCCCGCGGCGAAACGGUGAGGAAUGCAACGAAUCGUGUAACAUAACAGAGUGAAAAUGAGCAGCCGCGGGCCACGCGAACAUGCCCCCUUCCCUCCGCCCCAGCCGGACACACAAGCGCACAAACAGAUGGAAAUCAAGAGGAGGCAAAAUGCAGAAGACGAUCAC